UGGUGUGGUGUCAUGCACCUGUAGUCACAGCUACUCAGGAGGCUGAGGCGGGAGGAUGGCUUGAGCCCAGGAGUCAGGGGUUCUGGGCUAUAAUGCACUAUGCUGGUCCACACUAACUUCAGCAUCAAUAUGGUGACCUCCCAGGAAUGGGGACCACUAGGUUUUCUAAGGAGGGGUAAACUGGCUCAGGUAGGAAACAGAGUAGGUCAAAACUCUUGUACUGAUCAAUAGUAGGAUGGUGCUGUGAAUAGCCACUGUACUCCAGCCUGUGCAACAUAGCCAGAUCCUCUUUUUU
Molecule: unclassified non-coding RNA, 295 nt
Organism: Macaca fascicularis (crab-eating macaque)
Lineage: Eukaryota; Metazoa; Chordata; Mammalia; Primates; Cercopithecidae
Rfam family: Metazoan signal recognition particle RNA
About the family: The signal recognition particle (SRP) is a universally conserved ribonucleoprotein. It is involved in the co-translational targeting of proteins to membranes. The eukaryotic SRP consists of a 300-nucleotide 7S RNA and six proteins: SRPs 72, 68, 54, 19, 14, and 9.
Source: Ensembl